RNAcentral lists this ribosomal RNA (200 nucleotides) under uncultured bacterium. RNAcentral's name for it is "partial 16S ribosomal RNA". It matches the Rfam family "Bacterial small subunit ribosomal RNA", at positions 328 to 539 of the family's 1533-position model. The record is from RNAcentral.
ACGCUCGACACCUACGGGAGGCCGCAGUGGGGAAUAUUGGGCAAUGGGCGAAAGCCUGACCCAGCAACGCCGCGUGAGGGAAGAAGGUUUUCGGAUUGAAACCUCUGUCCUCAGGGACGAAGGACGUGACGGUACCUGAGGAGGAAGCCCCGGCUAACUACGUGCCGGCAGCCGCGGUAAUCUGAGCGGGCUGGCAAGGC